Poecilia latipinna (sailfin molly) is the source of this 1755-nucleotide long non-coding RNA. RefSeq lists it as uncharacterized. The record is from RefSeq and is a predicted model, not a curated record. Lineage: Eukaryota; Metazoa; Chordata; Actinopteri; Cyprinodontiformes; Poeciliidae. The transcript has 3 exons.
AUUCCACAUCACAUCUACAUGUUACACUUGUCAUAGUCAAGCUAGCUUAACUGAGCUACGUCCCUAUCCCUUGAUAUUUUUCUCUUUUAAUUAAACUUUUUCCUGAUCGUAUCUAGUUGUAGUUUUGACAAUUAUCAUCACAGCCAUCAUGUACACUAGAUCCCGCCCCAUCUCCCUGCAGGAAGGCAAAAAGCUGCUAGCUAAAGACGACUAGCAUUGGUUUUAGCCGUUAUCAAAAUAAUGCGCUAAAUCUUACGCCUGAUAUGUAAAAGGGAAAUGGAUGCAGUGCUCAUUCUGCAGGGGAUCCACAAAAAGAAGCAGCUAUCGUUUCAGGAUAAAGGUUGAACAAUAAGCAUUUAACGUAAGACACGUACAACUAGUUAGUGCUGACUACGAGUUCGUAAUUUCCUUCAUCCGUUUAAAAGGUGUUUAAAAGGACAGCGCGCCUUGAGGAGUCAACUCGCAGGACACCGUCUGCUCCAGUGCCGCCGAUGUUUUAAUUUAUUUCAUUUGCAAAAGCAGCAUCAUUCUGAAUAAUAUCCGAUAUCCAGGCUAAUUUCAGUAGGUCUUCAUCUGUUGAUUCUUAGGACUUCUCUGCACUGUCCAACAGUAAGUAGCGGUUCUUGCUAAAAAAAAUCCCUCAAUAUAUAUAUACACACAGAGUAAGUGUAAAACUGUUACUUAAGCAGGAAACUAACUAAUUUUUAUUGUUUUUCUUUUUGUCUUGCUGUAGAUUUAAUCUGUAAUGAGAGAGCUGAGGCGGCUGGACACCCAGUUCCAGCCAAUCAGACGUCUGCUGGACCGAACUGGCCAGCAGCUGCUGGUGGACAGACUGGGACCAGCGCUCCUCUAGGGACUUUCAGGUCGGUGGAAAAGAGGCAGAGAGCACGGACGCUGCACCGCAGACUGUCGUUAGUCGAUGGAUUAAUCUCAGAGUCUCUGCUGCUGUUGGAGAAAACUCCAGGAAGACGUUCAGUGCUCAGAAGAAACGCCGUCCGCCAUCAAACUAAGGCCACUCUGCUGCUUCAUGCGACUCAGAUUCUGUUCCACAGCGUCUCCUCUGACCUGAAGGUCAUUUCAAGGGAUUCGAGUGACUCUCCUUGCUAACUCUGACGUGUGGGAGACCAAGAGGGUAGAGUUGAUUCAGAUGAAAUGAGAAAUCUCUGAUGCUGCUCAGAUUAUUUUAGACCAACAGAACGGGCUCUUUGGGAAUCAACCUCCAGCUUCUCCUAAUAGUCAAGAAAAUGCAUUAAAUGAAAUCUAGACCAGGGAAUUACCUCAGGGAUUUAACUGAUGAGCUGGGAGGCACAACUCAGGAAUGUAUGGCAGCAGAACCAAGAAACUGCUGAACCAGCCAGAAAACAAAAGAAAGGUGAUCUGACGGCGUCAGAGCUGGAGCUCCUGAGCAACGCUCCAGCAAACGGGACGAAGACGGCUUCCUGUUACAAUACGCAGCAUUUCUUAAGCUUUUCUUUCCUGAUGGAUCAACUCUACCUUUUGGCUAUUAGGGUUUAAGAGAGAAGUGAAAGAAAAAAGUCUCAUUCCGGAGAUUCGCUUUGAUUUAGAUUGAAGAAACCUGUCUGAUGUCUGAUGGUGGGACCAAGUGGGUCUGGGAAAACUGUCAUUGUGUUUUACAGAAUGUAACCAUGAAUUGUGACGGAUGUUGUACCGGAUGACAUUGUUUGGAUUUAUACUCUUUUUCAACAUAUGUAUCCUGAAUUGUAGAAAAUGAAUAAAAAUAUAAAAUUUGUUGAA